CUCAAGAGGCUAGGAACAGCCAGUGACCACAGCAGUUAGCAUAUGACGAUACUUUGAUAUCAGGAAGAACAGCAAUGGCAGAAAAGAUUUAUCUCACAUGCCAACACAGAUCGAUGGCAGUGGUUGCCUGGAGUGCUGUGUUACGAAGGAAAAGACGGCUUUGCUCAAUUAGCAAUGUAUGCGCUGAGCAUGGUAGGAGAAAUUGCCGGCACUUCUACCAGGGGUCUAGCAUGGUGCAAUGCUAUUCAGGAUGCAAAAGUAGCAGAGGACCUCUGAGGAGGUUACAUGCGGCUUGGGAGAUGAGUGAUAAAUACAUGAAACAGCUGGGGAAAAAUACUAGACUGGAUAAAAUCAAGUGUGAGAGGAUUUGGUUCAGAUUUCAAGCACUACAGGAAUUCAGAAGCAAGGAAGAUCACACAAGGAGAGAAAUCAAAGAACAGUCACUGUGAAAGGGAUUGCAAGAAGCCGCUCUUCCUGUCUCAGGUGUCAGCAGUCAACUCUGUGGCUAUCAUCACCCUGGGAAAGACUGAAAUCAAGAUUCUGUGAUAUUCCACACCUGUCCCAGACAAUUCCAGCACAUCCCACCCUGAGAACAGCCAGAGGAGGAGAUCAGCCACGGAUUCUUAAUGAACUCUCUGGAGAGAGGUUGGGUGUUGACACCUCGGUGUGAAUUCUUCCCUCAUCUCUCAUCUGAGCGUCCCCUGUGUGAUGGCCAGUUCUCCUCAUGGGCAGCUGCCCACACGCUCCCUCUGAAGUGAAGUCUGAUGGUUGACAAGCCCUACACAUGCAGAUGGAGCUUUUAUUGCCUCUCUCUUAAAUAUGAAACAAAGAUUUAGUUAACAAAUAUUUAUUAAAUGCCCACUAGAUGCCAGAGAGAGGUCUUGGCACGUAAUAGUCAACAAAAGAGACCCCAAUCCCUGCCUGCCUUGGAGCUUACAUUCUAGUGAUGGAAGACGGAAAAAAUUUAAGGAGCUUAUCCUACUUCUGGUUGUGAUGGAGUAGCUCACAGCAGACCAAGUCUCCUGUUGAAAACAUCUAGAAAACAUGAACCACAAAAUACACAUUUUUAUAAGACAUCAAAGAGCAGCCAAAAUAUUCAGGACUUGAAGGGUCAAGAUCCCAGAAGAAGAAAAACUCAUUAAGAGAGGAUUUACAUCUGCUUCUGAUAGCUGUCUGGUCUGGAGGAACUACCACCUUAAACCAAGUUCAAGGCUUAAGGGUCCUUGAUCCACCCCGGAGUGUGAAAUCCACGCACUUAUUUGCAGGACGGCUGCUUCCCUUCUGGCUCUGUUUUACCCCAGGAAUUAUUCUUUGGAGGUUCAAGUUUAUUGUAAGGGUGAUUUCUUAGUAGCCUUUGUAUCUUGUAUGGGCCUUUUGAUGUCUGUCUCGAUCACCCCAUGAAGUCACCAAAAUGAAAGCUCAGUUUUGCGAGGAUCAGCAAAUAUUGUCAGGGCAGAAGUUGCUUCUGUGCUUACUUAAUAUUGUUUUCCAUUUAGGUCUGGUAAUUCCUUUCUACCUUGUUAGCUCUUGCAUGCUUUUGAGUAGAUGCUUUUUGUAUUAUAUUUGGCAUUUUUGGUUGUUUUCAGCAGGAUAGUUGGUCUGGGUAACUGAUCUGCUAUUCUCAGAAACUGCAAGUCCAAGAUAAUGAAUAAUCUGCGUUAUGAUGAUAUCUCACAGAAUUUGCAGUUCACGUAGAUUGUAAGCUGAAAAUAGCUGUUAAAUUGUCAGUUAUUAUUGUUAGAAAGUAGAGGAAAGAAACCCAGUUACUGUCUGCCACCAUCUCAUGUGGGGAUGUGUCAUCUCCUCAGAAUGACUGUGGUUUUGCAAGCUCCCACUCACUAUUUAGCCAAAUAAGAAAAUUUAUUAGGGCUUUGCUACAAAGCAGAGGUUGCCAAACUAUGACCUAGGAGGCAAAUCUGGUCUGUGGCCUGUUUUUAUAAAUAAAGUUUUAUUGGAAG
Molecule: long non-coding RNA, 1958 nt
Organism: Equus caballus (horse)
Lineage: Eukaryota; Metazoa; Chordata; Mammalia; Perissodactyla; Equidae
Source: Ensembl